UGGUUCCUUAUUUUUCGUGUGCUCGUUUCAUAUUUUAUAUCUAAAUAACUAAAAACUGUACGUCAUUUCUGAAUUCUGUUUUUGAGCUUUUGUUGAGAGUUUGGGCGGCUUCACAGGAUCUAAAGUGGGUUCACAUAUCUUCUGUAGAAGCAUUAGGUCAGAUGGUUGGCCUUAUUACCCGGACACAAUUGAAGGCGGCUUUACCCAGACUUGUCCCUACAAUAUUGGAAUUGUAUAAAAGAGAUCAAGCUAUUGCCUUUUUGGCAACAUGCAGUCUUCACAAUCUCUUACAUGCUUCGGUACUGUCAGAAAGUGGUCCU
Prunus mume (Japanese apricot) is the source of this 320-nucleotide non-coding RNA. Lineage: Eukaryota; Viridiplantae; Streptophyta; Magnoliopsida; Rosales; Rosaceae. The record is from RefSeq and is a predicted model, not a curated record.